Molecule: ribosomal RNA, 330 nt
Filed under: uncultured eukaryote
Lineage: Eukaryota
Description: partial 18S ribosomal RNA
Rfam family: Eukaryotic small subunit ribosomal RNA
Source: RNAcentral
CCCUUAGAUGUUCUGGGCCGCACGCGCGCUACACUGAUGCAUUCAACGAGUCUAAAACCUGGUCUGAUAGGGCUGGGUAAUCUUUUGAAAGUGCAUCGUGAUUGGGAUAGAUGAUUGCAAUUCUUCAUCUUCAACGAGGAAUGCCUAGUAAACGCAAGUCAUCAGCUUGCAUUGAUUACGUCCCUGCCCUUUGUACACACCGCCCGUCGCUCCUACCGAUUGAAUGAUCCGAUGAAUACCAUGGAUUGAGAGUACGAAUGGGUUCGCUCAUUUCUGCUGCUCGAGAAGUGGAGUAAAUCUUAUCAUUUAGAGGAAGGAGAANUCGUANCA